Acipenser ruthenus (sterlet) is the source of this 713-nucleotide long non-coding RNA. RefSeq lists it as uncharacterized. The record is from RefSeq and is a predicted model, not a curated record. The transcript is spliced from 3 exons. Lineage: Eukaryota; Metazoa; Chordata; Actinopteri; Acipenseriformes; Acipenseridae.
AAAUAGAACAAUUCAGCUGUCUCUUUAGAAAGCCUGACAAAAGCAAAUACUCCCCGCUGAACAUUUUCUUAGCCUGUUGCACAAAAGAUGAAGUUUGUUUAAGAAAUUGCCGCUAAAGAAAGCGUCAACCCAUUAAGAAGUGAAUUACUGGAUGCUUCAUGUGUGUCAGCGACAUCUUUAAAAGCCUGGGAAAUUCAACCAUUUUGACUGAUGGAGACUCACAAACUUCGGUUCAGCAAUACCGAAUCAGUCACUGACUGGAAGCAGGGUAUGGGCCUGCACAGCGAUUACCCGCAGGUCACAUAGGAGGGUAGCAGAAGUCUUUGGGAAGCAACACCUGCAGUUACAUUCAAAGGCCUGACAUUUGCAAGCAGCUUCUGAAGUGGCUGGGCAUUGUCCUGAGGUGAAUAAAGGACCAAGUUUUCUACCUGAACAGCUGAAGCAUUCCAGGACCAUUACAACCCUGGUGCCUGAUUUACAAGUAAUGAGUCCUGCUGACUUCAGUUUGUAAGAAAUGGAUGUCCCACAGGGUCAUCCAUUUCUAAAUAAAAAAAGGGUUGGGGUUUUUAAUAAGUUUCCUAUCCACAGAUGCCAUCCACCUUUUAUUCUAUUCUUUCCGUUACUAUAGUCUUCACAGCGAUUCCCAGAGUUCUGGUCAACACUCCCAGCACUGCAUAGCAUGCAGCUAGGCAGGGAACCCACAAAGUAAAUAC